GCCUCUAUAGCUCAGUGGUACGAGCGCUUCACUUGUAUCAGCUCAUCCGAGCAGUUGCGACAUGAAGAGGUCCGUGGUUCAAUCCCGCGUGGAGGCU
Penicillium oxalicum 114-2 is the source of this 97-nucleotide transfer RNA. It matches the Rfam family "tRNA". Rfam says of the family: Transfer RNA (tRNA) molecules are approximately 80 nucleotides in length. Their secondary structure includes four short double-helical elements and three loops (D, anti-codon, and T loops). Further hydrogen bonds mediate the characteristic L-shaped molecular structure. tRNAs have two regions of fundamental functional importance: the anti-codon, which is responsible for specific mRNA codon recognition, and the 3' end, to which the tRNAs corresponding amino acid is attached (by aminoacyl-tRNA synthetases). tRNAs cope with the degeneracy of the genetic code in two manners: having more than one tRNA (with a specific anti-codon) for a particular amino acid; and 'wobble' base-pairing, i.e. permitting non-standard base-pairing at the 3rd anti-codon position. The record is from Rfam. NCBI's taxonomy places the organism in Eukaryota, Fungi, Ascomycota, Eurotiomycetes, Eurotiales, Aspergillaceae.